This is a non-coding RNA of Paramuricea clavata, 297 nucleotides long. Lineage: Eukaryota; Metazoa; Cnidaria; Anthozoa; Malacalcyonacea; Plexauridae. The record is from the annotation of a GenBank genome assembly.
CACGUACUUCCGGGUGUAUUCGCGUAUCAAAAUAAAAAGUUCGUCGCAAGUCAACUUUUUGGCGUACUACGGAAGUACUAACCAAUCAACAUUCACGAAAUUUUGAAAUUUAAAAACGUUUUCGCUACGAUACGGUACGGUACGGUACGGGCGAAGUGGAAAACCGGCUUAAGUAAUAUCUAAAGUCAGAUUUGUCUCGUAGAUUUGUAACAUUGUUGAAUAGUUUAGGUUGAAUGAACAAUUACGAGGGCAUUGUCCUAGCAUUACUGUUCUCUAAAUUAUACGUGUAUAAUCUUU